UGCUAUUCGGAAUUAGUUCCAACUUCCAAGAUAUUAAUCAAAGCAUUGAUAUUAACGAAGUUAAUCUUAUACGGCAUUAUAAUUAUCUCAACCAUGAGACUGGGACAUUGAGAUGCCAUAGUUUCAUCUUUACCACUGUGUCAUCCUUUCAAACCCCUGACAAAAAAGAAGCAUCAACUUACAAUUAGUCACAUGAGCUGCAACAAAGCCUAAACAGCCUAAAAACAACGCCAAUAGGCAAUAACUAUUCUUAUUGAAUCAAACUUAGAAUUGACUCAUCAAAUUUUAAAAGAAAACCCAACCUUUUGUAUCAAUCUGUUGAACAAUUCCAACAUAAACAAACGAUCUUUUAACUACCCCCAACUCGAGGGGGAUCCAAAUGAAGCUGGCAAAGAUGUGUUCAUCAAUAAACUUUGAGAACAAUACAUCUAACGCUAGUAGCUGCUAAAUUCAAUCAAUGGCCAUUAAUGUUCUUAUAUUUCUGUGAAGAACCCUAGAAAAUGAACAGCAAGCCAAGGGGAAAUCAUAAAGGAGAUGAUCAAACGGAGAGGAAUCAAAAUAAAAUCAAUAAAAAGAACUUAUUAAAACAAAAUCUAACAACAGCAUUCAAAAUCAUUCCCAUAAACGAAAGCUUUGAAUAAAAAAAAUUUUAUAAUCAAUACAUGAACUAUUUAUAGUCACUGAUCAUAUCACCACACCUCAUCAGAAAGCCUCAGUAGUCAUUAAUCGUAAACACCUGAUUCAUAUCGUUUACCAUUGUUGUUGACAUUCUUAUUGUGUAAACAUAGUUGAUGCAGACAAAUGAAGAAUGCAUGAGAUGAAAC
This 824-nucleotide long non-coding RNA is filed under the name Brassica rapa (field mustard). RNAcentral describes it as "long non-coding RNA (BRAP_LNC006946)". Lineage: Eukaryota; Viridiplantae; Streptophyta; Magnoliopsida; Brassicales; Brassicaceae. The record is from RNAcentral.